This 219-nucleotide long non-coding RNA is filed under the name Elaeis guineensis (African oil palm). Its description in RNAcentral is "long non-coding RNA (EGUI_LNC072314)". The record is from RNAcentral. Lineage: Eukaryota; Viridiplantae; Streptophyta; Magnoliopsida; Arecales; Arecaceae.
UCCUCUAUCAGGAUUCGCUAGGGUCCACCGACAAGUCCCCUAAAUUUUUCAUCUAAAAUUUUUCUAAUCCAUAUAAGAGAGAGAAAAUAGAUACAUAAGUAAAUGAUUAAUUAAUUAAUUAAUUAACAAAAUAAGUAGAGGAGAGAGAAAUUAUUCCCUCUCUUCUUUUUCAAAAUAGGAGACACCAUCCCUAUGUACCUUCUCUUAGGUAUGAUGGAG